GUGCCAGCAGCCGCGGUAAUACGAACUGUGCAAACGUUAUUCGGAAUCACUGGGCUUACAGGGUGCGUAGGCGGCCAGACAAGUAGGGUGUGAAAGCCCCCGGCUUAACCGGGGAAUGGCGCCCUAAACUGUAUGGCUGGAGUGAGAUAGGGGUGUGCGGAACUUCCGGUGGAGCGGUGAAAUGUGUUGAUAUCGGAAGGAACGCCGGUGGCGAAAGCGGCACACUGGAUCUCAACUGACGCUGAGGCACGAAAGCCAGGGGAGCGAACGGGAUUAGAUACCCCCGUAGUCC
RNAcentral lists this ribosomal RNA (292 nucleotides) under uncultured bacterium. RNAcentral describes it as "partial 16S ribosomal RNA". It matches the Rfam family "Bacterial small subunit ribosomal RNA", at positions 505 to 796 of the family's 1533-position model. The record is from RNAcentral.